Pocillopora damicornis (cauliflower coral) is the source of this 654-nucleotide long non-coding RNA. RefSeq lists it as uncharacterized. NCBI's taxonomy places the organism in Eukaryota, Metazoa, Cnidaria, Anthozoa, Scleractinia, Pocilloporidae. The record is from RefSeq and is a predicted model, not a curated record.
CCUCAAAGUGUAUAAAUUGGGAAAGUGGCGUGACUACGGUGGAGUUUCGCUUCAAGUUCGCACCGAUCACUGUGUCGCCAGGUCUUUAUUCAGAGAAAACAGAUCGCAGCUGCCGAAGAGUAAUCUAACCAGCCUAACGUAGAAAUGAAGUCUUGGUGGAUUUUCAUCUUUUCUCUGGGAAUGCUAACCGUCCAAAAUCUCUCAGUGGACGCUAGCCCGGUGUACAUGAGAAUGUUUCCUCGAGAGCGACAGGAAUACGAAAGAAAUUGGCUUGAAGAAAGGAGAAACCUCUGCUAUGAUCUGAAACCCAUUGAGUGCAUUACGGAGGAGAGUCUAUGCGAUGAACUUGUCCACGCAAAAUAUGAGGACUUCCUCGCCUUCGCUCACUAUAAGUGUCCCUCCACGUGCAGGGUGUGUUAAGAGACCAUGUACUUGAAAACGGCAAGAUAUAAUGUUUACAUGUAAAGUUACAUGUUCUUCUCAAAACCUUUGACCAGCUGUCGAGAUACAUAUUCAUAUUUCAAUGUCAGUUAUUAAUUUGUUUAUUACGUAUUGCUGUUCUAGUCCUUUAUCAACAGAUUUAGCUACUUUUCCUUUUGGUCAAUGUUUCUCGUAUUAUACUACAAUUGUCAAUAAAAAUUCUUUUAGUCUACA